GGGUACACAUCAGUCAGUAUUAAGAAGAUGUCUUUUCCAGCAACACGGAUACUAAGUAUUGUAGGUCACAUGACUGGGGAGGUAAGUCUGUGGUUGCACAUGAGACCAUGAAAUAUGAUCCAGUUUUCUCCAGCCACACUGAUACUGGCAAGUGUAAGUUAUUCAGACAGGGGAGGUAAGUAAGUCUGUGGUUGCACAUCAGUCAACAUCAGGAAGAUCCAGUCUUCUUCAG
Molecule: long non-coding RNA, 232 nt
Organism: Haliotis rubra (blacklip abalone)
Lineage: Eukaryota; Metazoa; Mollusca; Gastropoda; Lepetellida; Haliotidae
Exons: 3
Source: RefSeq, a predicted model, not a curated record